UCAUAUGCUUGUCUCAAAGAUUAAGCCAUGCAUGUCUGGGUAUAAGCAAUUAUACAGCGAAACUGCGAAUGGCUCAUUAUAUAAGUUAUCGUUUAUUUGAUAGUACCUUACUACUUGGAUAACCGUGGUAAUUCUAGAGCUAAUACAUGCUGCCAACCCCGACUCCGGAAGGGGCGUAUUUAUUAGAUCCAAAGCCAACGCCCUCCUGGGGCUCCUUGGUGAUUCAUGAUAACUCUUCGAAUCGCACGGCCUUGCGCCGGCGAUGGUUCAUUCAAAUUUCUUCCCUAUCAACUUUCGAUGUUUGGGUAUUGGCCAAACAUGGUCGCAACGGGUAACGGAGGGUUAGGGCUCGACCCCGGAGAAGGAGCCUGAGAAACGGCUACUACAUCCAAGGAAGGCAGCAGGCGCGCAAAUUACCCAAUCCCGACACGGGGAGGUAGUGACAAUAAAUACUGAUACAGGGCUCUUUAGGGUCUUGUAAUUGGAAUGAGUACAGUUUAAACCCCUUAGCGAGGAACAAUUGGAGGGCAAGUCUGGUGCCAGCAGCCGCGGUAAUUCCAGCUCCAAUAGCGUAUAUUAAAGUUGUUGUGGUUAAAAAGCUCGUAGUUGAACCUUGGGCCUGGCUGGCCGGUCCGCCUCACCGCGUGCACUGGUCCGGCCGGGCCUUUCCCUCUGCGGAACCACAUGCCCUUCGCUGGGCGUGGCGGGGAGGCAGGACGUUUACUUUGAAAAAAUUAGAGUGCUCAAGGCAGGCCUAUGCUCGGAUACAUUAGCAUGGAAUAAUGAAACAGGACGCGCGGUUCCGUUUCGUUGGCUCUAGGGACCGCCGUAAUGAUCGAUAGGGACAGUCGGGGGCAUCAGUAUUCAGCUGUCAGAGGUGAAAUUCUUGGAUUUGCUGAAGACUAACUACUGCGAAAGCAUUUGCCAAGGAUGUUUUCAUUAAUCAGGAACGAAAGUUAGGGGAUCGAAGACGAUCAGAUACCGUCGUAGUCCUAACCAUAAACUAUGCCGACUAGGGAUCGGACGAUGUUGUCUCUUGACGCGUUCGGCACCUUGCGAGAAAUCAAAGUGCUUGGGCUCCAGGGGGA
Molecule: ribosomal RNA, 1088 nt
Filed under: Gibellula sp. NHJ 10788
Lineage: Eukaryota; Fungi; Ascomycota; Sordariomycetes; Hypocreales; Cordycipitaceae
Description: SSU rRNA
Rfam family: Eukaryotic small subunit ribosomal RNA
Source: RNAcentral